Molecule: long non-coding RNA, 380 nt
Organism: Oncorhynchus keta (chum salmon)
Lineage: Eukaryota; Metazoa; Chordata; Actinopteri; Salmoniformes; Salmonidae
Exons: 3
Source: RefSeq, a predicted model, not a curated record
UGGUGGUAAUAUAACGUCUCUGAACGGGACCAUCUAUUCUCCCGACCACCCAGCAGAGUACCCUAACUUCCAGGACUGUCUGUGGAGUGUACGGGUUCCCCCAGGGAAUGGCAUCUGCAUCAACUUCACCGUUCUCAACACUGAACCCAUCUACGACUACAUCACCGUCUGGGACGGCCCUGACCAAGGAUCUCCUCAGAUUGGUCAGUUCAGCGGGAACACGCCCCAGAAAGAGGUCUAUACCACAGCCAAUCAUGUCCUCAUCAAGUUCCACAGUGAUUUCAGCACUAGUGGGUUCUUUGUACUUAGUUACCAUGCAUACCAACUGAGAGUGUGUCAGUCUCCUCCAGCUGUUGCCAACGCAGAAGUCCUCACAGAAC